GAGGCUCUACAGCUAUUAUUGGCAUAUUGAGUUAUUGGAUCAGGUUUAAAAGCUCUAUUGUGAUGGUAAGAAAAUAGUUUUAAAGCUGGAGAAUUUUUAGAACUAAGGAUUUGAUAUUUGUUCAAGUCCAUUAAGAAGGGAGCCAAGGAAGAAGCAAGGGGAAGUUAGUACGGAAGAAAAAGCCAAAGCAAGAGCAAGUACUCCUAAGGGCAAGGGAGUAGUGAUUAGUGGAGCUUGAAGGUGCAGGAAGUUGAAG
This is a long non-coding RNA of Neltuma alba, 256 nucleotides long. RefSeq lists it as uncharacterized. NCBI's taxonomy places the organism in Eukaryota, Viridiplantae, Streptophyta, Magnoliopsida, Fabales, Fabaceae. The record is from RefSeq and is a predicted model, not a curated record. The transcript is spliced from 3 exons.